UCUAGGCACUGUCCAGAAGGAGAGGUGUUGGAGAAACAGCCAAAGAGGAAAAGGUCUGGGGAGUACUAACUGUGAAAGAAGUUAUAUGACCUGCCGACUCGGAGGUUGCUCUGGUUCUGCUCGACAGCAUGUGUACCAGGCUGGCCAGCUGUCAGUCACAACCAUGACCCGUCAGUCUACAGCGAAGGCCUGUGUGACAACACCGCAAGCCUGCAAACUCUGGUGGAUCCUAUCCAGGAGAUAAGAGGCUGGCAGACGAGACGGGACAAACGCAGGCAUGGCUCGCCUCAACUGGUGCCUGGCUGCCGUCAUCAGCUGGGGCAAGUUCCUCUUCGCCUGCUUCUUUCCUCUGCGGGGGGCCAAGCGAGACAAGGUGACUUUCUUCUACAAUAAAUGCCCCAAAAUUAUAUAUAAGGAAUUCUCACCCCGCAUGAAAUAUACAUCAGGAUGGGCCUUGUUCUCAAUCAUACCACCCAACCAUUACAUGCAUACUGCCAGAUUUACUCACACCACCAAAUGACGUAGCUCUGAAAACAAGCUUGGCGACUGGUCAUGGACCAUGGGGCUCUGGAAGACUGGUUGGUGCCUCUCUAAGUGCUGAUUCAAGGUCAGUGUUACAUCUCCAAGUGGUCUCCAGGCAGCUGCUCCAGAUAAAGAUGGUGGGGAACCAUGGGGAUCAUAGAUUUUGGAUUUGCUACUAGAGCCAGGCACUUGCAGCAACCACCUGGAACAAAUGGUAGUUGCUCCUGAUACGUAGGGUCACCUUGCAUUCACAGCUGCAGAAUUGUAAUGCACCAUUAUUGGGGUUAUGUGUAUUCCCAACUUUUGAUUUCCCGCUGUUCAUCUCCUGCCAUUGCAUGUCCUUCUGUGUUUGUUCGUUUUUGAUGAAGGGGGUUGUGAGUCUUUCAUCGCUGCGCCAUAUUCCGAUGAUCAUAUGGCACAUGUAUAUGAUCAAGAAAGGCCAAACGGAGUUCAUUGAAUGGGAUAAGCUGAAUGCACAUACUCUGUU
Long non-coding RNA from Micropterus dolomieu (smallmouth bass), 1009 nucleotides. RefSeq lists it as uncharacterized. The record is from RefSeq and is a predicted model, not a curated record. The transcript is spliced from 4 exons. NCBI's taxonomy places the organism in Eukaryota, Metazoa, Chordata, Actinopteri, Centrarchiformes, Centrarchidae.